CCUACGGGAGGCAGCAGUGGGGAAUAUUGGGCAAUGGGCGCAAGCCUGACCCAGCAACGCCGCGUGAAGGAAGAAGGCUUUCGGGUUGUAAACUUCUUUUGUCAGGGAAGAGUAGAAGACGGUACCUGACGAAUAAGCCACGGCUAACUACGUGCCAGCAGCCGCGGUAAUACGUAGGUGGCAAGCGUUGUCCGGAUUUACUGGGUGUAAAGGGCGUGUAGGCGGGUUGACAAGUCAGAUGUGAAAUCCUGCGGCUUAACCGCAGAACUGCAUUUGAAACUGUUGAUCUUGAGUACUGGAGAGGCAGAUGGAAUUCCUAGUGUAGCGGUGAAAUGCAUAGAUAUGAGGAGGAACACCAGUGGCGAAGGCGGUCUGCUGGACAGCAACUGACGGUGAGGCGCGAAAGCGUGGGGAGCAAACAGGAUUAGAUACCCGAGUAGUC
This 442-nucleotide ribosomal RNA is filed under the name uncultured bacterium. RNAcentral's name for it is "partial 16S ribosomal RNA". It matches the Rfam family "Bacterial small subunit ribosomal RNA", at positions 338 to 795 of the family's 1533-position model. The record is from RNAcentral.